Molecule: non-coding RNA, 198 nt
Filed under: Macleaya cordata
Lineage: Eukaryota; Viridiplantae; Streptophyta; Magnoliopsida; Ranunculales; Papaveraceae
Description: Bacterial large subunit ribosomal RNA
Rfam family: Bacterial large subunit ribosomal RNA
Source: Rfam by way of RNAcentral
ACUGUUCCCUGGGAUUGGCUUUGGGCCUUUCUUGCACAGCUUAGGUGGAGGGUGAAUAAGGCCUCCUUCCAGCGGGGGUGGGGGAGGGGGCGCGAGCCAUCAGUGAGAUACCAAUUUGGAAGAGUUAGAAUUCUAACCUUAUGUCAAGACUUACGGGCCAAGGGACAGUCUCAGGUAGACAGUUUCUAUGGGGCAUAG